Molecule: ribosomal RNA, 482 nt
Filed under: uncultured bacterium
Lineage: Bacteria
Description: partial 16S ribosomal RNA
Rfam family: Bacterial small subunit ribosomal RNA
Source: RNAcentral
AUUGAACGCUGGCGGCAUGCCUUACACAUGCAAGUCGAACGGUAACAGGUCUUCGGAUGCUGACGAGUGGCGAACGGGUGAGUAAUACAUCGGAACGUGCCCGAUCGUGGGGGAUAACGAGGCGAAAGCUUUGCUAAUACCGCAUACGAUCUACGGAUGAAAGCGGGGGAUCUUCGGACCUCGCGCGGACGGAGCGGCCAAUGGCAGAUUAGGUAGUUGGUGGGAUAAAAGCUUACCAAGCCGACGAUCUGUAGCUGGUCUGAGAGGAUGAUCAGCCACACUGGGACUGAGACACGGCCCAGACUCCUACGGGAGGCAGCAGUGGGGAAUUUUGGACAAUGGGCGAAAGCCUGAUCCAGCCAUGCCGCGUGCAGGAUGAAGGCCUUCGGGUUGUAAACUGCUUUUGUACGGAACGAAAAGCCUCUUUCUAAUAAAGAGGGGUCAUGACGGUACCGUAAGAAUAAGCACCGGCUAACUACGUG